This is a long non-coding RNA of Homo sapiens (human), 1597 nucleotides long. Ensembl annotates it as long intergenic non-protein coding RNA 1093. The record is from Ensembl. NCBI's taxonomy places the organism in Eukaryota, Metazoa, Chordata, Mammalia, Primates, Hominidae.
UGGCUAGUGAGCAAUGCAAUUCUGGGAAUGUUCAGGCUCUCUCUGUUCUUUCCUCUCUUGCAAACCAUGGGCACCCUUGGGUCCCUUGGGGUCACUAUGUUACACCUGCUUUUUAUCUGUCUGGGCAAGAGCUGCUCAAGCCACACCUUGUGACACUGAGGAGAUGUGUUUGUUUGAGUAGAUCAGCUAUGAAAAUACCCAGCCGGCCUGCAGCCCUCCCGGCAGAUGCUGAAAAGGAAACCCGACUGGGAGAUGCCGCCCACCCUUAUCCCCAGAGAGCUGCGUUGUUUCCUCUUGCCUUGGCCUUUGGAUCCGGCCAUAGCAAGCAUCCCUGGGCACCUGGCUGAAGCUGGAAACUCGGGAUAAGAAUGGAAGCCCUGGAAGGGAAGAAGAACCGAGGAGUGAGCUUGCCCUGAGGACAGCACAUUGCACUCUCACCUCCUUUGCAGUUAAGUGUGAAAUAGUGCCAAUAGAGUGUAAAAGAAAAGAAAGAAGAUGAUUCACCUCCCAAAGAUUCCCCACUGCUGUGUCCCUUCUAUCAACUUGAUACAAAAAAACACAAUGGCCCCGGGAACCACGUGUUGAAGAUGAGAGAGCUAAAAGAUGGAAAGAGACUGGAGCCCUGAGUCACCACCUGGAGGAAAACUACCCACCCAUCAGGAAUUUCUACUACACAUUUGGGAGUUUUUGGGGUUACAGCAGCUAAUUUAACGAAAACACCCAGAGACAAGAGCUAUUACUGCACAAAUUGGUUAAGUUACCUUUUUGUAUGUUUGGGUCCUCUCUAUUCGAUGAGACUGCGCGUUCCUUUGAAGCAAAUCUGUUUAAAAUUCUUAUAUCCCCAGAGGGCCUAGCAGAGAGUAUGCACAGAGUGAGCCUUCAGUAAAUGCUGAGUAAAUAAGCUCCUAAUGGAUGAAACUGUGUCUUCGAAGUUUGUUCUGACCAGUACUUAGUAUAGGAUUUUGUGCUGUUGGUCACUUUUCAUAAAGGUUCUUGCUAUUAAGGAACUUGACAUCCAAUGUACUCAUAGAAAGUAGAAAUUCAGGGGAAACAAAUAGAAGAGAUAUGUCCAAAAAUCCAUUUAAAAUUUCAUUGACAGAUAUUUAUCUCUUUAAUCCUGGAAGUUGUUUCAUGUAAGGGAAGGUUCAGUAGAAUGAAAACAGGACUGUAAGCUGGGAGGAGAUUUGGGGUCUCUUGGCCAACUCUGCCACAAAUUGUGUUACCUUCAACUUCCCUGCCUGUAAAAUGAAGUCAGUGGUCCCUAAAAUGAAAUUGGACUAAUGGCAAAUUAGCUAGCAUUUGAUUAUACAUCGAUAGUUUCCCCAUGUGAUUUUAACGCACAAAUCAGAUUUUGGAACCAUUAGGUAGGUGAUCUUAUCUUAUGAGUUUAUCUUUUUCAACAUGGAAAAAUAAAUUUGUUUUGCUGACCGAAGGCUGUGUAACUUAGAACUGGAAAGAGACAUGUAAUUGAAUAACCCAUCUCUAUGGGGCAAAAAAAUGAAACACCUUUAGUUUGUUCAAAGAUGAAAUGGAAAAAUAAACAUGUUUUAAGAUGACUUGGUAGAGAAAAUAUUUUCUUUGCCAGGAUAUUAGAGAA